This 91-nucleotide transfer RNA is filed under the name Felis catus (domestic cat). It matches the Rfam family "tRNA". Rfam says of the family: Transfer RNA (tRNA) molecules are approximately 80 nucleotides in length. Their secondary structure includes four short double-helical elements and three loops (D, anti-codon, and T loops). The record is from Rfam by way of RNAcentral. Lineage: Eukaryota; Metazoa; Chordata; Mammalia; Carnivora; Felidae.
GCCUGGGUGGCUCAGUCGGUUGAGCAUCUGACUCUUGAUCUCAGCUCAGGCUUUGAUCUCAAGGUUGUGAGUUCAAGCCCCACAUUGGGCA